UGAUGGUGAGAGAGUUGUGAUCUGCAAUUUAAAUAAGUUGAAAUAGAAAAAGAACACUAGUAACACAACUUUUUCUAAUAUUGAAAAUUACCUCUUUUUGUUUCAAAAUAUCAACCACGAUACCGUCUACCUAAUCAACGUUUACCAAAAAUACUAUGAAUAAGAAGCAAAACAAUUCUACGCAUACCAAUAGGGAGUAGGACUACAGUAACAAUUCAUACUAAAUGAUUACAAGAAAAUAAAUUAAACAAUACAGUUUGUGUCUUAAUGUUUUCAUCGUUGUAUUGACGUUUGAC
RNAcentral lists this long non-coding RNA (296 nucleotides) under Brassica napus (rape). Its description in RNAcentral is "long non-coding RNA (BNAP_LNC004926)". Lineage: Eukaryota; Viridiplantae; Streptophyta; Magnoliopsida; Brassicales; Brassicaceae. The record is from RNAcentral.